UACGUAGGGGGCUAGCGUUGUCCGGAAUCAUUGGGCGUAAAGAGCGCGUAGGCGGUCCGGUAAGUCCGCUGUGAAAGUCGGGGGCUCAACCCUCGAAUGCCGGUGGAUACUGUCGGGCUAGAGUGCGGAAGAGGCGAGUGGAAUUCCUGGUGUAGCGGUGAAAUGCGCAGAUAUCAGGAGGAACACCGAUGGCGAAGGCAGGUCUCUGGGCCGAUACUGACGCUGAGGAGCGAAAGCGUGGGGAGCGAACAGG
This 253-nucleotide ribosomal RNA is filed under the name uncultured bacterium. RNAcentral's name for it is "partial 16S ribosomal RNA". It matches the Rfam family "Bacterial small subunit ribosomal RNA", at positions 524 to 776 of the family's 1533-position model. The record is from RNAcentral.